RNAcentral lists this ribosomal RNA (808 nucleotides) under uncultured Streptococcaceae bacterium. Its description in RNAcentral is "bacterial SSU rRNA". It matches the Rfam family "Bacterial small subunit ribosomal RNA", at positions 63 to 852 of the family's 1533-position model. Lineage: Bacteria; Bacillati; Bacillota; Bacilli; Lactobacillales; Streptococcaceae. The record is from RNAcentral.
ACAGUUUAUACCGUAGCUUGCUACACCAUAGACUGUGAGUUGCGAACGGGUGAGUAACGCGUAGGUAACCUGCCUAUUAGAGGGGGAUAACUAUUGGAAACGAUAGCUAAUACCGCAUAACAGUAUGUAACACAUGUUAGAUGCUUGAAAGAUGCAAUUGCAUCGCUAGUAGAUGGACCUGCGUUGUAUUAGCUAGUAGGUAGGGUAAAGGCCUACCUAGGCAACGAUACAUAGCCGACCUGAGAGGGUGAUCGGCCACACUGGGACUGAGACACGGCCCAGACUCCUACGGGAGGCAGCAGUAGGGAAUCUUCGGCAAUGGGGGGAACCCUGACCGAGCAACGCCGCGUGAGUGAAGAAGGUUUUCGGAUCGUAAAGCUCUGUUGUUAAGGAAGAACGAGUGUGAGAAUGGAAAGUUCAUACUGUGACGGUACUUAACCAGAAAGGGACGGCUAACUACGUGCCAGCAGCCGCGGUAAUACGUAGGUCCCGAGCGUUGUCCGGAUUUAUUGGGCGUAAAGCGAGCGCAGGCGGUUAGAAAAGUCUGAAGUGAAAGGCAGUGGCUCAACCAUUGUAGGCUUUGGAAACUGUUUAACUUGAGUGCAGAAGGGGAGAGUGGAAUUCCAUGUGUAGCGGUGAAAUGCGUAGAUAUAUGGAGGAACACCGGUGGCGAAAGCGGCUCUCUGGUCUGUAACUGACGCUGAGGCUCGAAAGCGUGGGGAGCGAACAGGAUUAGAUACCCUGGUAGUCCACGCCGUAGACGAUGAGUGCUAGGUGUUAGGUCCUUUCCGGGACUUAGUGCCGUAGC